UAUUGCCUAUGGGAGGCAGCAGUAGGGGAUCUUCCACAAUGGGCGAAAGCCUGAUGGAGCAACGCCUCGUUGGUGACGCAGGUCUUCGGAUCGUAAAACCCUGUUGUUAGAGAAGAAAGUGCGUGAGAGUAACUGUUCACGUUUCGACGGUAUCUAACCAGAAAGCCACGGCUAACUACGUGCCAGCAGCCGCGGUAAUACGUAGGUGGCAAGCGUUAUCCGGAUUUAUUGGGCGUAAAGGGAACGCAGGCGGUCUUUUAAGUCUGAU
This 268-nucleotide ribosomal RNA is filed under the name uncultured bacterium. RNAcentral's name for it is "partial 16S ribosomal RNA". It matches the Rfam family "Bacterial small subunit ribosomal RNA", at positions 333 to 593 of the family's 1533-position model. The record is from RNAcentral.